This 451-nucleotide ribosomal RNA is filed under the name uncultured bacterium. Its description in RNAcentral is "bacterial SSU rRNA". It matches the Rfam family "Bacterial small subunit ribosomal RNA", at positions 447 to 896 of the family's 1533-position model. The record is from RNAcentral.
GUGAGGUUAAUAACCUCAUCGAUUGACGUUACCCGCAGAAGAAGCACCGGCUAACUCCGUGCCAGCAGCCGCGGUAAUACGGAGGGUGCAAGCGUUAAUCGGAAUUACUGGGCGUAAAGCGCACGCAGGCGGUCUGUCAAGUCGGAUGUGAAAUCCCCGGGCUCAACCUGGGAACUGCAUUCGAAACUGGCAGGCUAGAGUCUUGUAGAGGGGGGUAGAAUUCCAGGUGUAGCGGUGAAAUGCGUAGAGAUCUGGAGGAAUACCGGUGGCGAAAGCGGCUCCCUGGUCUGUAACUGACGCUGAGGCUCGAAAGCGUGGGGAGCGAACAGGAUUAGAUACCCUGGUAGUCCACGCCGUAAACGAUGAGUGCUAGGUGUUGGAUCCUUUCCGGGAUUCAGUGCCGCAGCUAACGCAUUAAGCACUCCGCCUGGGGGGUACGACCGCAAGGUUG